This 158-nucleotide ribosomal RNA is filed under the name uncultured Cortinarius. RNAcentral's name for it is "5.8S ribosomal RNA". It matches the Rfam family "5.8S ribosomal RNA". From Rfam's summary of the family: 5.8S ribosomal RNA (5.8S rRNA) is a component of the large subunit of the eukaryotic ribosome. It is transcribed by RNA polymerase I as part of the 45S precursor that also contains 18S and 28S rRNA. Lineage: Eukaryota; Fungi; Basidiomycota; Agaricomycetes; Agaricales; Cortinariaceae. The record is from RNAcentral.
CAACUUUCAGCAACGGAUCUCUUGGCUCUCGCAUUGAUGAAGAACGCAGCGAAAUGCGAUAAGUAAUGUGAAUUGCAGAAUUCAGUGAAUCAUCGAAUCUUUGAACGCACCUUGCGCUCCUUGGUAUUCCGAGGAGCAUGCCUGUUUGAGUGUCGUUA